Molecule: ribosomal RNA, 164 nt
Filed under: Festuca hystrix
Lineage: Eukaryota; Viridiplantae; Streptophyta; Magnoliopsida; Poales; Poaceae
Description: 5.8S ribosomal RNA
Rfam family: 5.8S ribosomal RNA (bases 1-145)
About the family: 5.8S ribosomal RNA (5.8S rRNA) is a component of the large subunit of the eukaryotic ribosome.
Source: RNAcentral
ACGGAUAUCUCGGCUCUCGCAUCGAUGAAGAACGUAGCGAAAUGCGAUACCUGGUGUGAAUUGCAGAAUCCCGCGAACCAUCGAGUCUUUGAACGCAAGUUGCGCCCGAGGCCUUCUGGCCGAGGGCACGCCUGCCUGGGCGUCACGCCAAACACGCUCCCACC